UACAGAGGCUCCAAGCGUUAUCCGGAAUCACUGGGCGUAAAGGGUGUGUAGGUGGUGAAGUUAGUUGCUUGUUAAAGCCUCCCGCUUAACGGGAGAAUCGCUGGCAAUACGGCUUCACUAGAGGAUGCGAGGGGUAAAUGGAACUCAUGGAGUAGGGGUGAAAUCCGUUGAUAUCAUGGGGAACACCAAAAGCGAAGGCAAUUCACUGGCGCAUUCCUGACACUGAAACACGAAAGCGUAGGUAGCGAAUGGG
This 253-nucleotide ribosomal RNA is filed under the name uncultured bacterium. RNAcentral describes it as "partial 16S ribosomal RNA". It matches the Rfam family "Bacterial small subunit ribosomal RNA", at positions 524 to 776 of the family's 1533-position model. The record is from RNAcentral.